This 497-nucleotide ribosomal RNA is filed under the name uncultured bacterium. Its description in RNAcentral is "partial 16S ribosomal RNA". It matches the Rfam family "Bacterial small subunit ribosomal RNA", at positions 28 to 507 of the family's 1533-position model. The record is from RNAcentral.
GAUGAACGCUGGCGGCGUGCCUAAUACAUGCAAGUCGAGCGAACAGACAAGGAGCUCGCUCCUCUGACGUUAGCGGCGGACGGGUGAGUAACACGUGCAUAAGCUUCCUAUAAAACUGGGAUAAUUUCGGGAAACCGGAUCCAAUACCGCCUAAUAUACUCUACCGCUUGGUUCAAUAGUGAAACACAGCUUUGCUGUCUUGUAUAGACGGAUCCGCGCCGCAUUACCUGGUUGGUAAGGGAACGGCUUACCAAGGCAACGAAGCGUAUCCGACCUGCUAGGGUGAUCAGCCACACUGGAACUGAGCCACGGUCCAGACUCCUACGGGAGGCAGCAGUAGGGAAUCUUCCCCAAUGGGCGAAAGCCUGACGGAGCCACACCGCGUGAGUGAUGAAGGUCUUCGGAUCGUAAAACUCUGUUAUUAGGGAAGAACAGCAGUGUAAGAAACUAUGCACGUCUUGACGGUACCCAAUCAGAAAGCCACGGCUAACUACGUG